This 465-nucleotide ribosomal RNA is filed under the name uncultured Melissococcus sp. RNAcentral's name for it is "bacterial SSU rRNA". It matches the Rfam family "Bacterial small subunit ribosomal RNA", at positions 338 to 795 of the family's 1533-position model. Lineage: Bacteria; Bacillati; Bacillota; Bacilli; Lactobacillales; Enterococcaceae. The record is from RNAcentral.
CCUACGGGAGGCUGCAGUAGGGAAUAUUCGGCAAUGGACGAAAGUCUGACCGAGCAACGCCGCGUGAGUGAAGAAGGUUUUCGGAUCGUAAAACUCUGUUGUUAGAGAAGAACAAGGGUGAGGGUAACUGUUCACCCCUGGACGGUAUCUAACCAGAAACCCCCGGAUAACUACGUGCCAGCAGCCGCGGUAAUACGACGGGGGCAAGAGUGGACCGGAUCUAUUGGGCGUAAAGCGAGCGCAGGCGGUUUCGUAAGUCAGAUGUGAAAGCCCCCGGCUCAACCGGGGAGGGGCAUUUGAAACUGGAAGACUUGAGUGCAGGAGAGGAGAGUGGAAUUCCAUGUGUAGCGGUGAAAUGCGUAGAUAUAUGGAGGAACACCGGUGGCGAAGGCGGCUCUCUGGCCUGUAACUGACACUGAGGCUCGAAAGCGUGGGGAGCAAACAGGAUUAGAUACCCCUGUAGUC